GGAAUGUUAGCUGAGACACUCUCUCUGCCUAAACACACCAUGCUGCCAUUUUGACUCUAUUGCGGCUGAGUGCUGUUGGUAUGAAGACAUUCUGCAAGACUCCUGGUGGUACUGCCUUGGUGAGCUUGGGCAAGACAUAAGUGAAUUCCCUGGAUUACCAGGGAAUGGAGGACUUUUUCGUGAGAAGCUUGGGCCAGAGAGGAACUCCUCCCAUCCACCUGGUCUUGCAGCUGGACAGGAGCAGACACUGGGAACUCAGAGCUCUCAAGCAGCUGCCACAGGAAAAACAGAACAAGGGUGACCAUUACAGAAGAAGAAACAAAUUUAUGAUACUCCACAGCACCUGUGCAAGCUAUGCAGCCUAAAGGUAGCAACAGGGAGUGGACAUAACAGACAGAAAAGUCUGAUGAGGAAAUGGAGUGUGUUAAGGAACUUGCCCAAUGUCACAACACUGCUGGUAUAAGUGGAAGAGGAGGGUUCCAAGUUCAAAUCUUUAUGGUAGGCUCAAAGGUGACUACUUGCUAACCCUUCGCUCUAAUUAAAGAGUUUAUUGUAGUAUGAAGCCUCUCAUGCUUAUCUGCAUUUCAAUAAGUACUUCAUCAGCGUGCAAAUUCCAUGAGGGUAAGGGCUUGGUCUAUUUUGUUCAUAAUUGCAUCCCAGUGCUUAGAAGGUAGUAGAUGCUCCAUCACCAGGGCGGGCUUCACACAGGACCCCCACUCAAAGGUUACACACUUAGAUUUAAUGCUCUGCAGUCGCUGUCUUGAGAUUCUUAAUAAUGCUACCUUUGAAGUUGUGUUUAGUAGAUGAAGUCUGAUGGAGCAGUGGAGCACAGCUUGGCACUCGGAGCCUCCGCUCACGUGGGUUCCCCCCUCCCCUGCCACUUCACUCCCCACCCC
Molecule: long non-coding RNA, 896 nt
Organism: Lemur catta (Ring-tailed lemur)
Lineage: Eukaryota; Metazoa; Chordata; Mammalia; Primates; Lemuridae
Exons: 5
Source: RefSeq, a predicted model, not a curated record